Molecule: ribosomal RNA, 948 nt
Filed under: Curvularia eragrostidis
Lineage: Eukaryota; Fungi; Ascomycota; Dothideomycetes; Pleosporales; Pleosporaceae
Description: SSU rRNA
Rfam family: Eukaryotic small subunit ribosomal RNA
Source: RNAcentral
CCCCCCUCGGCAGUUAUACCGUGAAACUGCGAAUGGCUCAUUAAAUCAGUUAUCGUUUAUUUGAUAAUACCUUACUACUUGGAUAACCGUGGUAAUUCUAGAGCUAAUACAUGCUGAAAAUCCCGACUUCGGAAGGGAUGUGUUUAUUAGAUAAAAAACCAAUGCCCUUCGGGGCUUUUUGGUGAUUCAUGAUAACUUUACGGAUCGCAUAGCCUUGCGCUGGCGACGGUUCAUUCAAAUUUCUGCCCUAUCAACUUUCGAUGGUAAGGUAUUGGCUUACCAUGGUUUCAACGGGUAACGGGGAAUUAGGGUUCGAUUCCGGAGAGGGAGCCUGAGAAACGGCUACCACAUCCAAGGAAGGCAGCAGGCGCGCAAAUUACCCAAUCCCGACACGGGGAGGUAGUGACAAUAAAUACUGAUACAGGGCUCUUUUGGGUCUUGUAAUUGGAAUGAGUACAAUUUAAACCUCUUAACGAGGAACAAUUGGAGGGCAAGUCUGGUGCCAGCAGCCGCGGUAAUUCCAGCUCCAAUAGCGUAUAUUAAAGUUGUUGCAGUUAAAAAGCUCGUAGUUGAAACUUGGGUCUGGCUGGCGGGUCCGCCUCACCGCGUGCACUCGUCCGGCCGGGCCUUCCUUCUGAAGAACCUCAUGCCCUUCACUGGGCGUGUUGGGGAAUCAGGACUUUUACUUUGAAAAAAUUAGAGUGUUCAAAGCAGCCUUUGCUCGAAUACGUUAGCAUGGAAUAAUAAAAUAGGGCGUGCGUUUCUAUUUUGUUGGUUUCUAGAGACGCCGCAAUGAUUAACAGGAACAGUCGGGGGCAUCAGUAUUCAGUUGUCAGAGGUGAAAUUCUUGGAUUUACUGAAGACUAACUACUGCGAAAGCAUUUGCCAAGGAUGUUUUUCAUUAAUCAGUGACGAAAGUUUAGGGAUCGAGACGAUCAGAUACCGUCG